RNAcentral lists this ribosomal RNA (324 nucleotides) under uncultured bacterium. RNAcentral describes it as "bacterial SSU rRNA". It matches the Rfam family "Bacterial small subunit ribosomal RNA", at positions 28 to 334 of the family's 1533-position model. The record is from RNAcentral.
GACGAACGCUGGCGGCGCGCCUAACACAUGCAAGUCGAACGAGCGAGAGAGAGCUUGCUUUCUCAAGCGAGUGGCGAACGGGUGAGUAACGCGUAGGCAACCUGCCCUUUGGUUGGGGACAACAUCCCGAAAGGGUGCUAAUACCGAAUGUGAUCGUUUUCUCGCAUGAGAGAGCGAUGAAAGAUGGCCUCUAUUUAUAAGCUAUCGCUAAAGGAUGGGCCUGCGUCUGAUUAGCUAGUUGGUGGGGUAACGGCCUACCAAGGCGAUGAUCAGUAGCCGGCCUGAGAGGAUGAACGGCCACAUUGGGACUGAGACACGGCCCAG